This 73-nucleotide transfer RNA is filed under the name candidate division NPL-UPA2 bacterium Unc8. RNAcentral's name for it is "tRNA-Lys". It matches the Rfam family "tRNA". Rfam says of the family: Transfer RNA (tRNA) molecules are approximately 80 nucleotides in length. The record is from RNAcentral.
GGGCCGCUAACUCAUCAGGUAGAGUACCGGCCUUUUAAGCCGGGUGUGCUGGGUUCGAGCCCCGGGCGGCUCA